Molecule: long non-coding RNA, 907 nt
Filed under: Bemisia tabaci
Lineage: Eukaryota; Metazoa; Arthropoda; Insecta; Hemiptera; Aleyrodidae
Description: lncRNA ENSSWEETPG005420
Source: RNAcentral
UAAAAUGUUGGAUAGGCAUGAGAAUCUGUAGAUGAACUCCUAGCUUGUUCUCUCAUCUACCCUAUCUGCUGGAAAAAAUCAUCGAGCUAACAUACCGAAGAUGCACUUUGCGCUCUUGUCUCCCUUUUGCGCGCUUUAAAUUUCGCGGUUGAAAUUCGAACUUCGGUUCAUCAGAUUUUUGAUGAGUUUGUGGAUGCCGCGAGUUUUUGUUUGACCGUUUGGCGCCUAAAAUCGUAAACAUUGCAAUUUUGCUGAUAAGCAUGUCAGUUCAGAGAGGUUUCAGUAUUUUGAGAAUAUGUAAGUAAUACAAGUAUUUAAAUAUUUAAAUUUGUAAUUGUAUUACCAAUGUUCACGCAAAUUAAUAUUUCAGUAUGAAUCAUCCAUAGUGCAGCAUAUCGUUUGCAAGUGAACCGUCAAGGAGUCGAAGUGUCUCAUCGUCAAGCUCACAUUGCAGUGGAAGACUCUGAAAGUUGAGAAUUAUCAUGUCAAGCGGAAAGAAAACUCUGAAAAAUUACCUGGCGAAUCAUCCUCCAGUAAAGCUAAAAAGCCAAAAUUGCCUGAACCUGAUCCUGAAUCGGAAAGUGGCUCAGAGAAUGAAGACUGGCAGUGAUGAUGAAGAUGGAGGAAUUCGUGUGGUGGUAUCUAUAUCCCACCUCCUAUCAAGCCUGCAUGCACCUCUGAGAAUACUGGUGAAGCCAGACUAAUUAUCACUCACAUUGUCAAUGAGAAUUUCAAAAGUUAUGCCGGAAGGAAGUUCUUGGACCAUUCCACAAAGUAAGUUAGAUUUCCCUUUAAAACUUCUCUUUAAUUUAGCACCCUAAUUUUUAAGACUGUGCGAACCGGUAAGUAAAGGAGAGGUCAGUUGAGCAUUCCUACCCUGUAACCAUGAAAUUCUGCUGAACAAAGC